CUCCAGUUAGCCGGGAGCCAGCCAAAUGGCGACGCGCGCCUCCACUCCGUUCGUCCAGGCGUCGCCGGCUGAGCGAGCGUGCGUGCGUGCGUUGAGGGCGAUGAGCUCGAUCUGCUUCUAAAGCGUCGCGGGGGGUCGCUGUUGGUUGGUUCACCGCCGGCUCGUACGCGGGUGGCUGGGGAGGCGCCGGGAGGAAGUGGAGAGAGGCGCAUUGCCAUGGCCACCGUGUGUUAGUCGGCCGUGCCCGCCAGUAACGCCGUCCGCGCUGGCCAGAACCACUGCGUUGGGCGCCAGCCGCGGACGCGCGCGCGCGCUCCAGUAGGAAACAGAGCACCGCCGCGCGCGUGUUGCCCACAGUCACUGCUAAUUAAGCUCGCUGACGCUGCUCUCGUCCCGUUACGAAUUCGUUCUUUGCUUCCCUUUUUCGAGGCUCGUUUCACUUGUCCGACAGUCUCCGUCUUCACCACAUGCAUGGCUGCCCCUGUACGCCAACUUGCCAAGAUUCGUGCGGCGUCUCCCUUUGCCUGUACUACUACAUUCAAUACUACCUGUCCAGUCAGUCCAAUUAGCUGCUUGCUUGACCCGGGGCACAGCCCAAGGGGCAACCCGCCGCCUUCGGUAGUUUGCCUUUUUGGUGAAAGGCCUGUCGGUGGAAGGACAUGCCAGAUCUGGAAGGGACGUAGCACAGUGAUCCCGGAGCAUAUGACGCAUAUGUCCCCGGCAGGCAGCAUGACUCGACGCUCUGCCGGUCUGCCCGGUCGAAACGUAUGCCUCUACCAGCGCCUGACGUUUCGACCGUGGAGACCCGCCACGCGACCAGGCGCGCGUGGCCCCAAGCUGCUUGUUUAUUACGACGCGGCUUCCUUCCUUGGCCUGAGCUGCUAUCUAUCUAUGCCUCCUUCCCCCAUCUCUCUCUCCGUUUCCAUUUGCUGCUGCUUCUUCUGGAGUUUCUCCUCUCCUGCCCUUCAGUCUCUGGCUCUCUGCAAGACGCGGCAAAGGUGGGUCAACGCGUGUGCUCGAGUUCUUUGAUGCUUUGGUUGAUGUUGUUGCUCAUCUCAUGGAUAAGUGCUGUUGUUGAUUUUUCAUGAUAUGCACGAGCGGGGGUUUGAUUUCCGUCACCGCGGCCUGAGACGAGGGUAGAGCGGACGUGUGCUUCCGUUCCGUGCAAGGCGGGAUCAACCUGACAACAUGAGCGAGGGCAUCCUUGCCCAAGGCCAAGAUGAAGGAAGGAAGGAAGGAAGGAGGACGGCGCGGCGAGGCAAUCGGUGCAGUGACCGCACCGUGGUCGAGCUCACGGAUGGGCGUGCCGCCAUUGCCGGCGCCGGCACCGUGUCAGGCAGCCUGCAAUACAAACCGGCUUACUAAUGCUACGGAAUAAGCUAGACAAUUCUCAGAAAAAUGGAAAAAGAACCCGCUUGUCACUGGCUUACGGUAAACUUCAAGAGUAUCCUGAUUCCAGUAUAGCCAGAAGAUAUUUUGGCAUCUGCUAUUUUGGCAUCACAGGAAUGUUCAUACUUAAUUUAGGCCUACCAAACAAAGCUUGUUCACAAGGUUUUCAUUAUCUUUGGCACGAGGUCAGAUUUCUUUAUGCA
Molecule: long non-coding RNA, 1592 nt
Organism: Triticum aestivum (bread wheat)
Lineage: Eukaryota; Viridiplantae; Streptophyta; Magnoliopsida; Poales; Poaceae
Exons: 4
Source: RefSeq, a predicted model, not a curated record